ACAUUGAUGCACCAGCUCCCAUAUGAUCACUGAAGUUAAGCAAUAUUGAGUCUGGUCAGUACCUUAGUGGGUGACAACUUGAGAAUACAAGGUGCUGUAAG
Non-coding RNA from Acanthosepion pharaonis, 101 nucleotides. Lineage: Eukaryota; Metazoa; Mollusca; Cephalopoda; Sepiida; Sepiidae. The record is from the annotation of a GenBank genome assembly.